AGAUUGAACGCUGGCGGCAGGCCUAACACAUGCAAGUCGAGCGGCAGCGGGAAGAUAGYUURCUAUCUUUGCCGGCGAGCGGCGGACGGGUGAGUAAUGCCUAGGGAUCUGCCCAGUCGAGGGGGAUAACAGUUGGAAACGACUGCUAAUACCGCAUACGCCCUAMGGGGGAAAGGAGGGGACCUUCGGGCCUUCCGCGAUUGGAUGAACCUAGGUGGGAUUAGCUAGUUGGUGAGGUAAUGGCUCACCAAGGCGACGAUCCCUAGCUGUUCUGAGAGGAUGAUCAGCCACACUGGGACUGAGACACGGCCCAGACUCCUACGGGAGGCAGCAGUGGGGAAUAUUGCACAAUGGGGGAAACCCUGAUGCAGCCAUGCCGCGUGUGUGAAGAAGGCCUUCGGGUUGUAAAGCACUUUCAGUAGGGAGGAAAGGUARUAACUUAAUACGUUAUUACUGUGACGUUACCUACAGAAGAAGGACC
RNAcentral lists this ribosomal RNA (481 nucleotides) under Shewanella baltica. Its description in RNAcentral is "bacterial SSU rRNA". It matches the Rfam family "Bacterial small subunit ribosomal RNA", at positions 26 to 494 of the family's 1533-position model. Lineage: Bacteria; Pseudomonadati; Pseudomonadota; Gammaproteobacteria; Alteromonadales; Shewanellaceae. The record is from RNAcentral.